UUAACAAAGAACUGUGGAAUAUUUCUAGCCAAAAGCCACUGGGGAACUGAUUCCUGCCAACAACCACUGAACUUCGAAGUAGAUCCAUCAGCAACUGGACCCUCAGAUGCGACCCAUGUAUGACACCUUGAUUGGGAUCCUGUGAGAGACCCUCAGGCAGAGCACCUAGUUAAGUCAAACUCAGAUCGCUGACUCCCAGAAACUGUAAGCACUCUCCUGCAUACCUGUCACCAAACCUCCAGGUCAAUCUCACAUUUACUCUUGAAGAAAUGGAGUCGAAGAUGAAAUAGAAAAUAAUUAGAUAAUGAAAUGCUAAUAUAGGAAUUGAAUGUCAGCUGCAGUGCUCAGAA
This 350-nucleotide long non-coding RNA is filed under the name Homo sapiens (human). RNAcentral describes it as "HSALNT0347880". Lineage: Eukaryota; Metazoa; Chordata; Mammalia; Primates; Hominidae. The record is from RNAcentral.